CCUACGGGAUGCUGCAGUGAGGAAUAUUGGUCAAUGGGCGCGAGCCUGAACCAGCCAAGUAGCGUGAAGGAUGACUGCCCUACGGGUUGUAAACUUCUUUUAUACAGGAAUAAAGUGAGGCACGUGUGCCUUUUUGUAUGUAUUUUAUGAAUAAGGAUCGGCUAACUCCGUGCCAGCAGCCGCGGUAAUACGGAGGAUCCGAGAGUUAUCCGGAUUUAUUGGGUUUAAAGGGAGCGUAGAUGGGUUGUUAAGUCGGUUGUGAAAGUUUGCGGCUAAACCGUAAAAUUGCAAUUGAUACUGGCAGCCUGAAGUACAGUUGAGGUGGGCGAAAUGCGUGGUGUAGAGGUGAAAUGCUUAG
Molecule: ribosomal RNA, 358 nt
Filed under: uncultured bacterium
Lineage: Bacteria
Description: partial 16S ribosomal RNA
Rfam family: Bacterial small subunit ribosomal RNA
Source: RNAcentral